Molecule: ribosomal RNA, 253 nt
Filed under: uncultured bacterium
Lineage: Bacteria
Description: partial 16S ribosomal RNA
Rfam family: Bacterial small subunit ribosomal RNA
Source: RNAcentral
UACGAAGGGGGCUGGCGUUGUUCGGAAUUACUGGGCGUAAAGCGUGCGCAGGCGGCUUCUCAAGUCAGGGGUGAAAGCCCAGAGCUCAACUCUGGAAUUGCCUUUGAGACUGAGUGGCUUGAGUACGAGAGAGGUGAGUGGAAUUCCCAGUGUAGAGGUGAAAUUCGUAGAUAUUGGGAAGAACACCGGUGGCGAAGGCGGCUCACUGGCUCGUAACUGACGCUCAUGCACGACAGCGUGGGGAUCAAACAGG